AUGCGAUGUGACAUGCCAGUUUGGGUUUUACUUUGAUAUUGAAUUAUUUAUUAUUUAAUUGAAUUUGGGAAAAGGGGUGUUACAAUUGG
This 89-nucleotide microRNA precursor is filed under the name Medicago truncatula (barrel medic). RNAcentral describes it as "MIR2617 microRNA precursor family". It matches the Rfam family "MIR2617 microRNA precursor family". Lineage: Eukaryota; Viridiplantae; Streptophyta; Magnoliopsida; Fabales; Fabaceae. The record is from Rfam by way of RNAcentral.